UAAAUAGCCAGACCGUCUUUUGAUGGUUGCAGGCUUCUUAGAGGGACUGUCAGGAUCUACCUGACGGAAGUUUGAGGCAAUAACAGGUCUGUGAUGCCCUUAGAUGUUCUGGGCCGCACGCGCGCUACACUGACAAAGCCAGCGAGUUUAUCACCUUGGCCGGAAGG
RNAcentral lists this ribosomal RNA (167 nucleotides) under Serendipita vermifera. RNAcentral's name for it is "partial small subunit ribosomal RNA". It matches the Rfam family "Eukaryotic small subunit ribosomal RNA", at positions 1352 to 1540 of the family's 1831-position model. The record is from RNAcentral. Lineage: Eukaryota; Fungi; Basidiomycota; Agaricomycetes; Sebacinales; Serendipitaceae.